GUGCAAGUGAGGUGCGAAAAAAAUCGAAGCAGCGGUGAAAGGUGAAAAUAAAUGGAAUCGUUUUAAAUAUACAAAUUAAAAGGUUUUGCAGCCGGCAUCGUGUAGUGUACAGGAAAAUAACCGGGUUAGAGCCACGACUUCAUUGACUUUUAAAAUCGCUAUCGACGAUAUUCAACCCGUUGUAUCACUUACUUUACCAUCGGAUUCAGAAUAAGAAAAGUAGAGGAAGCGAAUCAAGAAAAUCCUUGACCCUGAACAAAGUUCUAAACUAAGUGGUUAACGUAUCUCUAAUAAAUUACAAUUACAAUUACAAUUACAAAAUGAAAGCCAACCGAACCGAGAAAAGACAGGCAAGGAAUAUUAUCUGUGCGCAAGAGGAGAGCGGCAAAGGAAAGGCCAGAAACCAGCUGCCAAUGAGCAUGAUGGGCCGAUGGAUCUGCUGGCCAAACCGUAAGAUUAUACCAUUGAAUUCAGCUUUCCGAAUCUGACUCCUUUGCAGCCUCCAUUUCGUUUGCACAGUGUGACCAUUGAUGUCCUGGAUAAAAUCCUCUGUUCGUCAGAGUUGUUUGAUAUCAAGAUGAUCAGUCCUGUUGCCAUUGUGGGUCCAAAUAGCGUUGGCAAGUAAACUUUCCUGAAACUACCGGUUGGUGAUCUGCAGACUGCAGGCAACGGAGCAAAGAAAAAUCAUUGUUACCGGAUCCAACGAACAUCUGAGUACCGAGGCAAACAUGUUAAUGUUUAUUCGGCAAACAUGUUCAACUUACAAAAAAUCACGGAGUUCUCAAAAGCACACCGGUUAUUGAUAUCAAACCACCAACGAGCAUCAUGAAAAAAAUCGCACUCAAACGAAUCCCACCGCAAGACAAAUCUGCAUAUUGUUUUCUGGCUCUCGCUAGUGGAUGAAAAAUUCCGCAACCAGUCACUCAAAUACCCGGGUUUGAUAUCCGGCUACACCAUUGAUCAAUGGCGGCCGGAAGAUGUCUGAUAGCGAUACCGAAUCAUUUUCUCAAAAAUAUAUUCGUUGGUGGCAUUCGUGAAGGACAGGUUACCAUAGCUGUGCAUACAGUAUUUUAAAAGUCUCAGACGCCAGGCUCGUGGUACUUUCAUAUCGAUCCCAUCCAUUCUACAUAGUUCGCGUUUGGAAAACAUGAUGAAUACCGAUUUUUUAUAAGAUCCUUUGCCAUGAGGCAGAUUUAAUCACAGCAAAAACCGUAGAUUUCAUUACCCGUUACUUAGAGUAUCCGGUGUAUACGUCCGAGGAAGCUAGGACAGCUUGUAACCAAACAGGUCUACUACAGUGGACAACGGCUAAGACUAAGAUCUACGAUAUCAACAGAGAUGCACUUUUGCUAAAGGCAAUUUUUUUGCAAUACAGUGGAAUCAGUUUGAAAUAACUACAGUACAGUAUAUUCACAGCGAAUCCCACUGUUGAUUGAAGUUAAUGAAGAAUUAGAUCCCUUAAUAAGACAACAUCAAGGCAAUACCUCUAAGAUGAAAAUCGAAACUUGACCAAAGAUGUAACAACCGGUCGUGGAUGCAAGAACUGGAAACAACUCUGCUUCACAAAUUGCUGACUCGAUAACCACGGCAAACAUCAGGAGCUGUACAUUUUUGGCGGUGAACGAGGCAAGGACUACAUGACGGACUUUCUGAUUUACUAUAUGGAUAUAUCCUAUAGCGGUGAAUUAUCCAGCUGAUGCCAGAAUGAUGUCGUACUUAAUUCGACAAAGCUGAAAGGGUCUUACAAGCAAGUUUUCCUACUCUUAAAAUCAGACAUCUUUUGCCAAGCCUACAAGAAGAACACCCCAAACCGAAUAGAAUCACCGAAAAGUGGCAAAUCUCGCGUCACUUUUCAUUUCGUCCAAUGUAACAAAUGUAAACAAAUCCGGUUUAUCACAACAAAUUAUUGCUCUUUUUAAACUCUAUGUUAUACAAAAACACCUGCCCAAAUAGAAUUAUUUUGAGGUGAAAAA
Molecule: long non-coding RNA, 1973 nt
Organism: Sabethes cyaneus
Lineage: Eukaryota; Metazoa; Arthropoda; Insecta; Diptera; Culicidae
Exons: 6
Source: RefSeq, a predicted model, not a curated record